CCCUAUGGGGUGCAGCAGGAUUGGUCCGUAUCUUCUUUUCUUCCUCUCCUCCCAUAUAAACAAGCCCAUCAAGGGACUUUGUUGUUACAUAAUGGUCGAGGUCCAUGGACUCCGUUUUCACGAAAGGUACCGAUUGUGUAUAAGUACCCAUCAUAUCUUUGUAUUUCUUCGUAACACCUACUUUAUCCAUACUUGCGGAAACAGGCGGUUUGAAAGCCGUAUAGAGUUUAUCAAAGGUUUUUGAUUUGAAAUAUUCGGUAGCUGCGGUAUCAUGUCCUCUCAAUAUUUUCAUGGCGUCCUGGAUAGACAUCCCCUUGAGCGCAUCGACAAUGAAUUGGCGGGGGGGC
Molecule: ribosomal RNA, 347 nt
Filed under: uncultured prokaryote
Description: partial 16S ribosomal RNA
Source: RNAcentral